ACACACACAUAUUAUUGAAACUUGGACAUUGAAUUGGUAGGUCGAAUCGGUAAAAUUACUUUUUUGUUAGUCUCGAUAACUUUUAAAGAUAAUGGUUCUUGUAGUCUUCUAAUCAUUUUCACUACUAAAAUAAAAAUUGAUAAGUUUAUUUAAACUACAUUAUCGUCUAAUAGAAAAAGAAAAGGUUAAACGCCUUUAAAUACGUGAAGCAAUAGACACAAAAGGAAAGGAAAAGAGAAGAAAAGUAAAGUGAAAAAGUUUCUUUUGUUGGAAUUCACUUGAAACAAAGAAUUGAAUUGUUAAAAUUAAAAAGAGAAAACAAAACAAUGGAGGAAAAUUGUAGAAAAUACAUAGACGCUGAUGAAGAUCAUUAUGUAUCAAUUGAUAGUUUAGACGAAGAGGAAAGAUACGAAGAUGAUGAAUAUAUUAUGAAAAAACCAAGUGUUGGUAUGCAGGUAUUAUGUAUACCCGUUGCAGCUUUGUGGUGUCUAGUCGGUUAUUGUAUAUUUCGCAUGCAACCUCCGUCAAGUGAUGACGACUAUUAUACGAUAGAAAAAUACGCCUUAAGAAAGCCUAUAAAAAAGAAAUUGAAAAAGAAGGAGAAGAAAGCUAACGAAGUAUUCAUGAAAAGACGUCAGAACGUUGAAGAACUCUAUUCAAAACCACUAACAGGGAGAUCGAGAAAAGCAUCUGCAGCAUCUCUAGAUUCUGCCAAAGAUAGUGGCUAUUCGACUAAAAAUUCAUCUUUAAACCUUCCCUUAAGAUCUGCUUCAAAGUCAGACGAAGAUACCCCAAGUUUACCAGACACAAAAUUAAGAGAUACCUGUAUUAAGAGUAGUCAAGAUAAAUUAGCCGCCCUUGAUGAUUGGCUAGACAGGUCAUUAAAAAAGUCUGAGAACGAUCUCUCAAAUAUAGAUGAAACUACUUUAUUUAACGCUGACAAAGCAGACAAUUCAAAUAUUGAAUGUCAAAAUGAAAAAACUGCAGAAUAUGACGUAAUUGAUUCAUUAACUAUAGUCAGUACGGACACAUUGAACAGACUGGCAAAUUUAAGAAAGUGUGAAAAUGUUGUUUCUGGUUAAAGCGGAUAGAAAAAUAACGCGAAAUAUAUUAACAAUAAAGAAAAGUAAAAAUAUAAAAGAAAAUCCGGUUUUUUUUUAAAAAAAAAAAGAAAGAAAAACAAUUUAUUUACAAACUUUUGUUUUUACUUGAAUUCAAAUGGGAAACUUGUUAUUGUUUUUUUUUUUAUUAUUACUCUUCUUACUUGUUUGUUCUUUUCCUCUAUUCUUUUUAUUUCG
Molecule: unclassified non-coding RNA, 1298 nt
Filed under: Dimorphilus gyrociliatus
Lineage: Eukaryota; Metazoa; Annelida; Polychaeta; Dinophilidae
Description: dgyrCDS6848
Source: RNAcentral